AUUGAACGCUGGCGGCAUGCCUUACACAUGCAAGUCGAACGGUAACAGGUCUUCUGCUGCUGGCGUGUGGCGCACGGGUGUGUGUUACAUCUAAACAUCUCCGUUCUUGUGGGGUAUAACGGCGGGAGCUUUGCUCUUACCCCAUACGAUCUACGGAUGAGAGCGUGGGGUCUUCUGACCUCGCACGCUCGCAGCGGCCGAUGGCAGAUUAGGUAGUUGGUGGGAUAAAAGCUUACCAAGCCGACGAUCUGUAGCUGGUCUGAGAGGAUGAUCAGCCACACUGGAACUGAGACACGGCCCAGACUCCUACGGGAGGCAGCAGUGGGGAAUUUUGGACAAUGGGCGAAAGCCUGAUCCAGCCAUGCCGCGUGCAGGAUGAAGGCCUUUGGGUUGUAAACUGCUUUUGGACGGAACGAAAAGCCUCUAGCUAAUAAAGAGGGGUCAUGACGGUACCGUAAGAAUAAGCACCGGCUAACUACGUG
RNAcentral lists this ribosomal RNA (482 nucleotides) under uncultured bacterium. RNAcentral describes it as "partial 16S ribosomal RNA". It matches the Rfam family "Bacterial small subunit ribosomal RNA", at positions 30 to 507 of the family's 1533-position model. The record is from RNAcentral.